This 72-nucleotide transfer RNA is filed under the name Camelus bactrianus (Bactrian camel). It matches the Rfam family "tRNA". Rfam says of the family: Transfer RNA (tRNA) molecules are approximately 80 nucleotides in length. Their secondary structure includes four short double-helical elements and three loops (D, anti-codon, and T loops). Further hydrogen bonds mediate the characteristic L-shaped molecular structure. tRNAs have two regions of fundamental functional importance: the anti-codon, which is responsible for specific mRNA codon recognition, and the 3' end, to which the tRNAs corresponding amino acid is attached (by aminoacyl-tRNA synthetases). tRNAs cope with the degeneracy of the genetic code in two manners: having more than one tRNA (with a specific anti-codon) for a particular amino acid; and 'wobble' base-pairing, i.e. permitting non-standard base-pairing at the 3rd anti-codon position. The record is from Rfam by way of RNAcentral. RNAcentral also lists the same sequence under 2 other names. Lineage: Eukaryota; Metazoa; Chordata; Mammalia; Artiodactyla; Camelidae.
GAGGGUAUAGCUCAGUGGUAGAGUGCAUGCUUAGCAUGCACAAGGUCCUGGGUUCAAUCCCCGGCACCUCCA